Molecule: ribosomal RNA, 2923 nt
Filed under: Staphylococcus aureus
Lineage: Bacteria; Bacillati; Bacillota; Bacilli; Caryophanales; Staphylococcaceae
Description: 23S ribosomal RNA
Rfam family: Bacterial large subunit ribosomal RNA
Source: RNAcentral
GAUUAAGUUAUUAAGGGCGCACGGUGGAUGCCUUGGCACUAGAAGCCGAUGAAGGACGUUACUAACGACGAUAUGCUUUGGGGAGCUGUAAGUAAGCUUUGAUCCAGAGAUUUCCGAAUGGGGAAACCCAGCAUGAGUUAUGUCAUGUUAUCGAUAUGUGAAUACAUAGCAUAUCAGAAGGCACACCCGGAGAACUGAAACAUCUUAGUACCCGGAGGAAGAGAAAGAAAAUUCGAUUCCCUUAGUAGCGGCGAGCGAAACGGGAAGAGCCCAAACCAACAAGCUUGCUUGUUGGGGUUGUAGGACACUCUAUACGGAGUUACAAAGGACGACAUUAGACGAAUCAUCUGGAAAGAUGAAUCAAAGAAGGUAAUAAUCCUGUAGUCGAAAAUGUUGUCUCUCUUGAGUGGAUCCUGAGUACGACGGAGCACGUGAAAUUCCGUCGGAAUCUGGGAGGACCAUCUCCUAAGGCUAAAUACUCUCUAGUGACCGAUAGUGAACCAGUACCGUGAGGGAAAGGUGAAAAGCACCCCGGAAGGGGAGUGAAAUAGAACCUGAAACCGUGUGCUUACAAGUAGUCAGAGCCCGUUAAUGGGUGAUGGUGUGCCUUUUGUAGAAUGAACCGGCGAGUUACGAUUUGAUGCAAGGUUAAGCAGUAAAUGUGGAGCCGUAGCGAAAGCGAGUCUGAAUAGGGCGUUUAGUAUUUGGUCGUAGACCCGAAACCAGGUGAUCUACCCUUGGUCAGGUUGAAGUUCAGGUAACACUGAAUGGAGGACCGAACCGACUUACGUUGAAAAGUGAGCGGAUGAACUGAGGGUAGCGGAGAAAUUCCAAUCGAACCUGGAGAUAGCUGGUUCUCUCCGAAAUAGCUUUAGGGCUAGCCUCAAGUGAUGAUUAUUGGAGGUAGAGCACUGUUUGGACGAGGGGCCCCUCUCGGGUUACCGAAUUCAGACAAACUCCGAAUGCCAAUUAAUUUAACUUGGGAGUCAGAACAUGGGUGAUAAGGUCCGUGUUCGAAAGGGAAACAGCCCAGACCACCAGCUAAGGUCCCAAAAUAUAUGUUAAGUGGAAAAGGAUGUGGCGUUGCCCAGACAACUAGGAUGUUGGCUUAGAAGCAGCCAUCAUUUAAAGAGUGCGUAAUAGCUCACUAGUCGAGUGACACUGCGCCGAAAAUGUACCGGGGCUAAACAUAUUACCGAAGCUGUGGAUUGUCCUUUGGACAAUGGUAGGAGAGCGUUCUAAGGGCGUUGAAGCAUGAUCGUAAGGACAUGUGGAGCGCUUAGAAGUGAGAAUGCCGGUGUGAGUAGCGAAAGACGGGUGAGAAUCCCGUCCACCGAUUGACUAAGGUUUCCAGAGGAAGGCUCGUCCGCUCUGGGUUAGUCGGGUCCUAAGCUGAGGCCGACAGGCGUAGGCGAUGGAUAACAGGUUGAUAUUCCUGUACCACCUAUAAUCGUUUUAAUCGAUGGGGGGACGCAGUAGGAUAGGCGAAGCGUGCGAUUGGAUUGCACGUCUAAGCAGUAAGGCUGAGUAUUAGGCAAAUCCGGUACUCGUUAAGGCUGAGCUGUGAUGGGGAGAAGACAUUGUGUCUUCGAGUCGUUGAUUUCAGACUGCCGAGAAAAGCCUCUAGAUAGAAAAUAGGUGCCCGUACCGCAAACCGACACAGGUAGUCAAGAUGAGAAUUCUAAGGUGAGCGAGCGAACUCUCGUUAAGGAACUCGGCAAAAUGACCCCGUAACUUCGGGAGAAGGGGUGCUCUUUAGGGUUAACGCCCAGAAGAGCCGCAGUGAAUAGGCCCAAGCGACUGUUUAUCAAAAACACAGGUCUCUGCUAAACCGUAAGGUGAUGUAUAGGGGCUGACGCCUGCCCGGUGCUGGAAGGUUAAGAGGAGUGGUUAGCUUCUGCGAAGCUACGAAUCGAAGCCCCAGUAAACGGCGGCCGUAACUAUAACGGUCCUAAGGUAGCGAAAUUCCUUGUCGGGUAAGUUCCGACCCGCACGAAAGGCGUAACGAUUUGGGCACUGUCUCAACGAGAGACUCGGUGAAAUCAUAGUACCUGUGAAGAUGCAGGUUACCCGCGACAGGACGGAAAGACCCCGUGGAGCUUUACUGUAGCCUGAUAUUGAAAUUCGGCACAGCUUGUACAGGAUAGGUAGGAGCCUUUGAAACGUGAGCGCUAGCUUACGUGGAGGCGCUGGUGGGAUACUACCCUAGCUGUGUUGGCUUUCUAACCCGCACCACUCAUCGUGGUGGGAGACAGUGUCAGGCGGGCAGUUUGACUGGGGCGGUCGCCUCCUAAAAGGUAACGGAGGCGCUCAAAGGUUCCCUCAGAAUGGUUGGAAAUCAUUCAUAGAGUGUAAAGGCAUAAGGGAGCUUGACUGCGAGACCUACAAGUCGAGCAGGGUCGAAAGACGGACUUAGUGAUCCGGUGGUUCCGCAUGGAAGGGCCAUCGCUCAACGGAUAAAAGCUACCCCGGGGAUAACAGGCUUAUCUCCCCCAAGAGUUCACAUCGACGGGGAGGUUUGGCACCUCGAUGUCGGCUCAUCGCAUCCUGGGGCUGUAGUCGGUCCCAAGGGUUGGGCUGUUCGCCCAUUAAAGCGGUACGCGAGCUGGGUUCAGAACGUCGUGAGACAGUUCGGUCCCUAUCCGUCGUGGGCGUAGGAAAUUUGAGAGGAGCUGUCCUUAGUACGAGAGGACCGGGAUGGACAUACCUCUGGUGUACCAGUUGUCGUGCCAACGGCAUAGCUGGGUAGCUAUGUGUGGACGGGAUAAGUGCUGAAAGCAUCUAAGCAUGAAGCCCCCCUCAAGAUGAGAUUUCCCAACUUCGGUUAUAAGAUCCCUCAAAGAUGAUGAGGUUAAUAGGUUCGAGGUGGAAGCAUGGUGACAUGUGGAGCUGACGAAUACUAAUCGAUCGAAGACUUAAUCAA